ACAGCAGUCGCCGCGGUAAUACGGAGGGUGCAAGCGUUAAUCGGAAUUACUGGGCGUAAAGCGUGCGUAGGCGGUUCGUUAAGUCUGUUGUGAAAGCCCCGGGCUCAACCUGGGAAUGGCAAUGGAUACUGGCGAGCUAGAGUGUGUCAGAGGAUGGUGGAAUUCCCGGUGUAGCGGUGAAAUGCGUAGAGAUCGGGAGGAACAUCAGUGGCGAAGGCGGCCAUCUGGGACAACACUGACGCUGAGGCACGAAAGCGCGGGGAGCAAACAGGAUUAGAUACCCCGGUAGUCCCUGUCUCUUAUAC
This 305-nucleotide ribosomal RNA is filed under the name uncultured bacterium. RNAcentral's name for it is "partial 16S ribosomal RNA". It matches the Rfam family "Bacterial small subunit ribosomal RNA", at positions 508 to 807 of the family's 1533-position model. The record is from RNAcentral.